GACGAACGCUGGCGGCGUGCUUAACACAUGCAAGUCGAACGGAAAGGCCCUGCUUUUGUGGGGUGCUCGAGUGGCGAACGGGUGAGUAACACGUGAGUAACCUGCCCUUGACUUUGGGAUAACUUCAGGAAACUGGGGCUAAUACCGGAUAGGAGCUCCUGCUGCAUGGUGGGGGUUGGAAAGUUUCGGCGGUUGGGGAUGGACUCGCGGCUUAUCAGCUUGUUGGUGGGGUAGGGGCUUACCAAGGCUUUGACGGGUAGCCGGCCUGAGAGGGUGACCGGCCACAUUGGGACUGAGAUACGGCCCAGACUCCUACGGGAGGCAGCAGUGGGGAAUAUUGCACAAUGGGCGGAAGCCUGAUGCAGCAACGCCGCGUGCGGGAUGACGGCCUUCGGGUUGUAAACCGCUUUCGCCUGUGACGAAGCGUGAGUGACGGUAAUGGGUAAGGAAGCACCGGCUAACUACGUG
This 468-nucleotide ribosomal RNA is filed under the name uncultured bacterium. RNAcentral's name for it is "partial 16S ribosomal RNA". It matches the Rfam family "Bacterial small subunit ribosomal RNA", at positions 28 to 507 of the family's 1533-position model. The record is from RNAcentral.